Molecule: long non-coding RNA, 1613 nt
Filed under: Chrysemys picta bellii (western painted turtle)
Lineage: Eukaryota; Metazoa; Chordata; Testudines; Emydidae
Description: lncRNA (ENSCPBG00000020561.1)
Source: RNAcentral
AGGAGGGGUUCCAAGCAUAGGGGGCAGUGUGGAAAAAUUCAGCAAGGGAGAGACAAAGGAGAUAGUAAGGCAGGAUGAAUGGGUGGCAUAAUGUGAGGGUGACUCCCAUGGCCUGGAGCAGGAAUCCACCUGUGUAUGUGAUGCUGGAAUUGGGCCUGUUGUUCUCCAUGGCUGCAGUCCAGCCCAUUAUAUGUCAGAUUAAGUGGGGGCCUCCUGGUAAAUGGGCCUUGGUUCAGCAAAAAUGUAGACACCCCUGCCCUAGAAAGUCAACAGAUUCUCUCGAACUAUCUCACAUUCAUUUCUUUCUAGCUAAUCUCACUUACGUUGUGCCCCUACCUGUGGCAUUUGAGCUCAUCCAUGGGAGGGCAUCAUUGAGCCUCAUUCAUAGGCACAGCAAGCUAUAGACCAUCUGGCCAAUGGCAGGGUUAAAAAUAGGAGGUCUAGUUCUCAGUUACAACAAGGCCGUUUUAUACUGCUCUGUGGAGCUACCUUAAAAGGCCUCCCUGAAAACACUACAGGGCCUCCGGGGCUGGUAGAGGUCUCCCUACCACCUCCCCCAGCAUAAAGAUUGUGGCAGGGCUGUGGCACGAGAACGGUACAGUAUAGCUAUUCGCUUCUUACCUGGGCCAUAGGGGCCCUUGAGGCUGCUCUAACUUGCACCCAGGGCUGGCUCCAGACCACAGAGGUGAUGUGAAGCUAAGUUCCCCUCCACCAAGCACAACAAAGUAAUUGAGCAUCAGGAUGUGUAGGAGACAGCCACCAGCCUGAGGCUGACAUGACAGUGAAACCAAGUCAGUCACGGUGAUUUUUUUUUAACUGGAUAGAGUGACUCUGUCCUUAACCCUGACCACACUUUCCUUACAGAUUUGGGGGGGAUGGAGGGAGAGGGGUCUUUUAAACGCCAUACUAAGCCUGUGCCAAGAGCCCUGCAUGAAUGAAUUGUCACAUGACUCAAAGGUUUUUGGCAAACAAAUAUUGCACUCCACAAAAGGUCAUCAUGACAGAUUUACUUGCCGUAAGUAUUCAUUAUCAGUCACCCCACUGGCGUCCAGAGAAGACUCCCCUCCCCGCUGGGGAGGGAGGUCUUAGUUCAGUUAUUUUGUGUCACUCGGUUGUGAAAAGAGCUGAAUUUGAUUUGGUGGGAGGUUGGGGGCACGCCAGUUUGAGGCAUGAGACUUGAUCUUUCCAGUUCUUUUAUACUGACAGGUCCAGCACAAACAGUUUGACCCAUUGUAUUCUAUACAUUCCUUCACAGCUCCUUGGCCGACAUCAGGUUUGCUCGUGCUACAAACUGGCUGUUGCACUUUUUUAACUAUAAUUCUCUUUAUUUUAUUUGUCAAAAGCUGCUUAAAGUGACAUUUCAACAUAGUUGCAGAAAAUUGUGACUAAAGGAAGUCUUGGAAUGUCCAGGUGGAUAUAAUGGAUAUUAGUACUGUAUAUAUCAUGUUUUGAAUUUUUACCUGAACUAAUGAAACAUGUCCACUUAAAUAACGGAACAAUACAUUUGAGUGUCAAAUGCAUUUCUUAAGUUAGUGUUUGUAAUCUGAAAUCCAUCUUGUCAGUUGUAUACAUUUGUUAUGUCACUGGUAAUAAAACUGUGGUACUAAAUGGCA